AUGCCUGGCUCUGACUUCUCCCGUUCUCCGGUGUGGUGCUGGGUUCGGGUCCCGGUCGUGGGGGACUGCCCGCCCGCCCUCGGUGAGGUGUGCUCCGCGUGGAGGCUGCGUCUCCCCGGUCUUCUGUGCUCUCCUGGCCUUCUGGGGGAGGAAAGCGAUCCCGCCCGCCGCGUCGCUCUGUGUCUGGUGGCGUGGGGGGGGGAAGCCUCGUACGGCCUGCGGGCCGCGACGAGCUCGGCCGUGGGGUCGAGGGCAGUAAGUAGUCCGGUCAUCGGGGGAGGGGGGAGGAUAGAGCGGAGUGCUCUUUUCCCCCUCUGUGUGCGUGCGUGGAGUGACUGCGGUUUGUGCUGUCGUCGCCCGGAAUUCGUGUCGGGGGGGGUGCGGUGGCUCGGUGGGGUCGGUGCCAGGGUCCGAUCCCCUCCCGCCCCCUGGGAAGGUUGGGGUCCCACUCCCCGGUCUUCUUGGCGCUCGCCCUGGGCCUCGCCGAACCCCCGUGCGUUUCCGGUGCGUGCGCCGUCCGUCCUUGGUCGCGGCCGCCUCGCUCCUCGCUGCACGUGGAAGUGCGAGGCGAGGACUCUCUGUUUCGAAAACCUCCCCCUGAUCCCCGGUGGGCCGUUCGCGCUGCUUGCUCUCUCUGCCCUCGCUGUCUCGCCGCGUCCCGCAUUCCGACGGGCUUCCCUGCGCCGUCGCUGGAGAGGAUGCCCUCCCGGGGGCUCCCUCUCGUCGGCCGUCCCCGCGCCGAGGGCCGGUGCCGCGACGAGGCUGGGUCGUCGCUCCUCCCCCUCUGGUCGGGUUGCCGGUGGCCGGGUUGCCCGCGUGCCCCCCUCCGCGGGGUCGCCGCCGUUGGGUUUGUCGGUGGCUGCCGUCCCCCGCGUCGGCCCGUCCCGCUUGCCGCCUCGGGGACCCCCGGGCGCCUGUGGAGUUUGGCCGCGAGGCCGGCCGUGGCUUUGCGGGAGCGGGUUCCCGCGCUGCCUCCCCGGGGACGCCCGGGGAAACGGUCGUUCCUCACGAGCCCCCCCACUGCCAAAUCGUGUCGUGUCUCGUUUUUUACCUUCCGUUUACGCGUUGUGGGGGUUGCUGUGGGGUGUUGGGGGGGGGGCCACGCGCCCUCCCCCCCCCUCCCUCCCUCCCGCGUAUCCCAAAAAAAACCAAAAUUCCGGACAACUCUUAGCGGUGGAUCACUCGGCUCGUGCGUCGAUGAAGAACGCAGCUAGCUGCGAGAAUUAA
This 1227-nucleotide long non-coding RNA is filed under the name Monodelphis domestica (gray short-tailed opossum). Its description in RNAcentral is "lncRNA (ENSMODG00000036459.1)". The stretch from base 1163 to 1227 matches the Rfam family "5.8S ribosomal RNA", at positions 1 to 65 of the family's 154-position model. The record is from RNAcentral. Lineage: Eukaryota; Metazoa; Chordata; Mammalia; Didelphimorphia; Didelphidae.